Molecule: small RNA, 2150 nt
Filed under: Pan troglodytes (chimpanzee)
Lineage: Eukaryota; Metazoa; Chordata; Mammalia; Primates; Hominidae
Description: retained intron
Source: RNAcentral
CAAAUUGAGAGCAAAUAAGGACGAAUACAUGGUGAACAGUUAACUGGAAGAUCCUACUGGGUCCUUCCACCUGGGGUGGAAGACAUCAAAGUGGCUAUCCUGAUUUAAGAUCUAGUGUCUGGCUGGGUGUGGUGGCUCAAACCUGUAGUCCCAGCUACUUAGUAUGCCAAGGCAGGAAGGUUGCUUGAACCCAGGAGUUGGAGGCCAGCCUGGGCGUCAUAGGGAGACCCUGUCCCUAAAACAAAUAAAUUUAAAAAAAAAAUCUGGUGUCUGUUUUGGCCACUUUGCCAAUCUGCUAGGGAACCUUAGGGCAAGGGUAGAUAUUAACUGCUCUCCCGUCGGUACCUUCUGGGCCUUGAUUAACAAAGUCAGUGCUGAAUGCAUAUGUAUUUGUGCUUCCCUCUUACAUUCCCGUCUGCCAGACAUAACAUAUCAUGACCAUGGUGGUGUUCUCUUCCCAUUUUUUGAAUUUUUUUUUUUUUCGUUUUGCUGCUUGUUUUCUUGCUGUGUUCCUUUUUGACCUUUCUCCCUCCCCACAACCUGGCUUGUGCCAUCCCCGUGACUAUCACUAACAGCCGUUGCCGAGAGAUGGAUGAGCAGAUUAGACUGAUGGACCAGAACCUGAAGUGUCUGAGUGCUGCUGAAGAAAAGUACUCUCAAAAAGAAGAUAAAUAUGAGGAAGAAAUCAAGAUUCUUACUGAUAAACUCAAGGAGGCAGAGACCCGUGCUGAGUUUGCUGAGAGAUCGGUAGCCAAGCUGGAAAAGACAAUUGAUGACUUGGAAGAUAAACUGAAAUGCACCAAAGAGGAGCACCUCUGUACACAAAGGAUGCUGGACCAGACCCUGCUUGACCUGAAUGAGAUGUAGAACACCCCAGUCCCACCCUGCUGCUGCUCCUCCCUCUGACCCAGACUCCGCCUGAGGCCAGCCUGCGGGAAGCUGACCUUUAACUGAGGGCUGAUCUUUAACUGGAAGGCUGCUUUCUCCUUUCGCCACCCCCUCCUUCCCUGUGUCUUUUUCACCAAACUGUCUCUGCCUCUUCCCGGAGAAUCCAGCUGGGCUAGAGGCUGAGCACCUUUGGAAACAACAUUUAAGGGAAUGUGAGCACAAUGCAUAAUGUCUUUAAAAAGCAUGUUGUGAUGUACACAUUUUGUAAUUACCUUUUUUGUUGUUUUGUAGCAACCAUUUGUAAAACAUUCCAAAUAAUUCCACAGCCCUGAAGCAGCAAUCGAAUCCCUUUCUCACUUUUGGAAGGUGACUUUUCACCUUAAUGCAUAUUCCCCUCUCCAUAGAGGAGAGGAAAAGGUGUAGGCCUGCCUUACUGAGAGCCAAACAGAGCCCAGGGAGACUCCGCUGUGGGAAACCUCAUUGUUCUGUACAAAGUACUAGCUAAACCAGAAAGGUGAUUCCAGGAGGAGUUAGCCAAACAACAACAAAAACAAAAAAUGUGCUGUUCAAGUUUUCAGCUUUAAGAUAUCUUUGGAUAAUGUUAUUUCUAUUUUUUAUUUUUUUCAUUAGAAGUUACCAAAUUAAGAUGGUAAGACCUCUGAGACCAAAAUUUUGUCCCAUCUCUACCCCCUCCCAACUGCUUACAGAAUGGAUCAUGUCCCCCUUAUGUUGAGGUGACCACUUAAUUGCUUUCCUGCCUCCUUGAAAGAAAGAAAGAAAGAAGAUUGUGUUUUUGCCACUGAUUUAGCCAUGUGAAACUCAUCUCAUUACCCUUUUCUGGGUUUGAAGCUGCUGUCUCUAGAAGUGCCAUCUCAAUUGUGCUUUGUAUCAGUCAGUGCUGGAGAAAUCUUGAAUAGCUUAUGUACAAAACUUUUUAAAUUUUAUAUUAUUUUGAAACUUUGCUUCUUUGGGUUUGUGGCACCCUGGCCACCCCAUCUGGCUGUGACAGCCUCUGCAGUCCGUGGGCUGGCAGUUUGUUGAUCUUUUAAGUUUCUUUCCCUACCCAGUCCCCAUUUUCUGGUAAGGUUUCUAGGAGGUCUGUUAGGUGUACAUCCUGCAGCUUAUUGGCUUAAAAUGUACUCUCCUUUUAUGUGGUCUCUGGGGCCGAUUGGGAGAAAGAGAAAUCAAUAGUGCAACUGUUUUGAUACUGAAUAUUGUCAAGUGUCUUUUUGAAAUAAAGAACCAGUCCCUCCAACCCUCAG